This 1397-nucleotide long non-coding RNA is filed under the name Nothobranchius furzeri (turquoise killifish). Its description in RNAcentral is "lncRNA (ENSNFUG00015024023.1)". The record is from RNAcentral. Lineage: Eukaryota; Metazoa; Chordata; Actinopteri; Cyprinodontiformes; Nothobranchiidae.
AAUAAUACUGGUGCCCUACGAACACCACAAGUGUUAUGGAGCACCAGGUCUCUAAAGACAGACAGAAAGCUGUCAUGCUCCGUGCUGAACCAACAAUCUUUGUCUGAGCUUUGUUUGCAGGUGGGUGUGUCUGCAGAGCUCAGCUGUAUCACAUCAGCGGUCAGGGGAUUUAAGGGGCGGCAGGACAGCUCACCAGUGCCUUGGGUUCCAGUCACAUUCAUAUUCGCUUUCUACAAUAUCACCGGAACCAUCAUCAACAUUCCAGUCCCGCCAUUUGCCCCUGAUCGCCUGCUCUCCGCCACUCACCGGCCCACCUGCAGCUCCUCGGUCUCCCUGCUCAGCCAGGCCUGGCAUACCCUCCCCGGAGAACCCGGAUCAUCCAGGAAACCGUAAGCCCUUGGCAUUCCUCAUCAUCCUCUCACGAUGAUCCAGACUGACCUCUCUUCCUCUCCCAGAACCCCACGGAUCCAUUUCCUGUCCUUGGGAAGCUACCUCUACCGCACCAUUCAAAAUAAACCACUCUUACUGAACUUCCGACUCCUGGUGGUGAUUCUUCAUGUCGAGGGUUAAGGAAUUACCUUCAAACACGACUAAAACUAAAUGAAAAAGAGUGGAAGAGGGACAGAUUAACACAGAUUAGAACAAGUUCUGAUAAACACAGAAAUAGCUAAAGGUCCAGUUUGACAGUCCACUACUCUUCACUAUCGGAUCUAUCGCUGGAGCGUAGAUCAGUCAACUCAGUUAGUUCAAACAGGAGUCACGGUACACGAGCUGAAGUAAAGAGAGGCAACGCUAAUAUUAGCCUUGAUCAGACUCCCCAUUCUCUCUCUCUCACACACACACACACACACACACAUACACACACACACACACACACACACACCCACCCACCCCUAUGAGGAUGUGUGUUUCUCCUGACUCUGUUGUUCGGUUGACCUCCUUAAAGAACAUCUUUGCCUGACUUUGCUUUUCCAACAAACUCUGCUGUGAUGAUGCACGUGGAGAUGCCACCAUCUCCUAUCUCAUGCAGCUCGGUGUUUCAUCGUUUGAAACACUGGACAUGUUGUUCAUUCUGAUUGCUGCUAUCUGGAGACCUUGGCCUAUCUGGAAGUAGAUUGAAAGCAAACUAAUCACGUCUGUUGGCUGCACUAAGAUGUGUCACAUCAACUACAUCAUCUUACAAGCUUUCUUAUACAUGAACUUUAUUCUACAGCUUUUCCCAUCAUUGUUUUAAAUUUAUAAACUUUUAAGUUUCUAAAAGCCUAGAGAAGGUUCAAGUGCUCCAGAUUAGGUUUCAAAACUGUAAAUGAUGCUUUUUAUGAAUGACUGGGGCAGAUUUGACCCAAAUGGGUGGGGUUGGGGCCCUGCCCUCUCUUCUGAAACCCUAUAAAAACACA